RNAcentral lists this ribosomal RNA (465 nucleotides) under Vreelandella stevensii. RNAcentral describes it as "partial 16S ribosomal RNA". It matches the Rfam family "Bacterial small subunit ribosomal RNA", at positions 338 to 795 of the family's 1533-position model. Lineage: Bacteria; Pseudomonadati; Pseudomonadota; Gammaproteobacteria; Oceanospirillales; Halomonadaceae. The record is from RNAcentral.
CCUACGGGUGGCAGCAGUGGGGAAUAUUGGACAAUGGGCGAAAGCCUGAUCCAGCCAUGCCGCGUGUGUGAAGAAGGCCUUCGGGUUGUAAAGCACUUUCAGUGGGGAAGAAAGCCUUGGGGCUAAUACCCUCGAGGAAGGACAUUACCCACAGAAGAAGCACCGGCUAACUCCGUGCCAGCAGCCGCGGUAAUACGGAGGGUGCGAGCGUUAAUCGGAAUUACUGGGCGUAAAGCGCGCGUAGGCGGUCUGAUAAGCCGGUUGUGAAAGCCCCGGGCUCAACCUGGGAACGGCAUCCGGAACUGUCAGGCUAGAGUGCAGGAGAGGAAGGUAGAAUUCCCGGUGUAGCGGUGAAAUGCGUAGAGAUCGGGAGGAAUACCAGUGGCGAAGGCGGCCUUCUGGACUGACACUGACGCUGAGGUGCGAAAGCGUGGGUAGCAAACAGGAUUAGAUACCCUAGUAGUC